AAAUACAAAUAGUACGGUGCUAAUCCUCCAUCAUAACAGCAACGCUCCAAGGUCCAAACGCGCCUGGCUGUUGAAGGGAAUUGAAGAGGACCUUU
Molecule: long non-coding RNA, 95 nt
Organism: Etheostoma spectabile (orangethroat darter)
Lineage: Eukaryota; Metazoa; Chordata; Actinopteri; Perciformes; Percidae
Exons: 4
Source: RefSeq, a predicted model, not a curated record